Long non-coding RNA from Amphiprion ocellaris (clown anemonefish), 3451 nucleotides. RefSeq lists it as uncharacterized. The record is from RefSeq and is a predicted model, not a curated record. Lineage: Eukaryota; Metazoa; Chordata; Actinopteri; Pomacentridae. The transcript is spliced from 3 exons.
GAUUCACAUACGUAUUUACCAUAGACUGUAUAUAAUGGUAUUUACGCAGCUAAUCAACUUCAGGCGUCCUUAUGUGCAGCCACCAUUGUUGUCAUAGAUAUGAAUGAGUAGAUAGGACACGCCCCCUUUGAGCUGCGUGCUACAGCGAGGCUAAGCUAGUGGGGGCAAAGUUUCAGUGCAUUCUGUUGAUGUAGACGGCGUGAAAACGGAAACAACAAGUAUGCCGGCUCACUGUGCUGCAUACAGUUACACACUACGUCGUACGAUUGAGACAAGGAAACUUGGAAUGACUUUUCAUAGGUUUCCCAGAGACUAUGGGUUGAGGAGGAAUUGGAAGUUUGUUGGCUUAGACCUGGUGUCAUUCCAUCAGUGUUAAACUUCCCGGCUCAUCUUGGAAGAGUACGUGCCAGAAAGACCAUGACCAAGCAGCCUUGAGAUCUUAGGCAGCAUCUCCCUGAGGUCCCUCUCGAUCUCCCCACACAUCCACCAACCACUGGAACACAUCUCCAAAGUUCUGCCGGGCCAGCUCAGCUUCCCCUCAGAAGAAGUGCCGCCACCUGCCAGAUGAAGGAGCCUUUUGAGAGGCAGCUGUCAUCAUGAUUGAACUGUACUUUGGUCUGUUCUAAUCCAGCUUCAGCUCCAGAGACGGCAGGCGGGACGAGUCAACGGAGGCUGGGUGGACGAAGGCAUGCAGCGGAGUACAAUCCAGAAAACAACAGAGGAGGAGUGCAGCAGCCCAGGGCCAGAACAAACACAGUAGCAUCGUAUGUCUCUUAGAAAACAUCAUAGUAUAGCCUUUGGUAUGGAAAAAACGCCAUCAUAUACAUCGUAUAUUGUACAAAUAACAAGUCAAAGGAAAGAGACAUACAUUGUAGAAUUGUAGUAAUUGUGGGCUGACUGAUUUACUGAUUAUCAGUAUUUUAUUUUUUACUGAUUUACGGUAAUACAUUUAAAAAUGGUGCUACUUUGGCUCUGAACCUUUAUCUACCUGUGGUCGCUCUGUCUUCUGGAGUGAUUUGAUUGGUUAUACGUAACGAAUAAAACUCUUUUAACAUCUGUAAACAAAACAAAAACGUAUCAACAAAGUUUUCUGUUAGAGUUUGUGUUCUUCUAAGUUUAACUCAAGAUUUUAAAUACUUUCAUUUACUGCAAAUGAAUAUCUACUCCAAAUGUCUCACUAAUAAUCAUUAUCAGCCUUAAAAACCCACAAAACACCCCUCUAUACUCGAGACACUUAGUACAGUCUGGUUCCCCCUUCUAUAAAUCUGCUUGGAAUCUUCCGCUUCCUGUUUGUCAAAGUGGCCUUCUACCUGGACAGGUUUUGUUGGAGCUCAUGCAGCAAACAUUUUGGGUAACUGCACUUUAAUAUGGAUGGAUGACACUGAAUUAGAGUCUGUUUUAAUGAGACUGAGUUAAGAUGUGUAGCUCUGUCAUUAAAUAGUAAAUUAUUUCUCAGAAUUCACAGAGAAAAGUCUGAAAUGUUUGCUAGGUUAGCGUCCCAUAUGUUCUUUGGCUCAGCUAAAGCUAACUCUCUCCAACUUCUGGAUCUCUUGAGUUGCUUGUUGUUAAAAUACCUUGCUGGAGGUGCUGAGGCUCAGAAAGUCUGAGAUGUUUGUUCAAAAUAAGCUCAUUCUCAAGUCUUAUCUGAACUGUCCUCUUUUGUUUGAACUUUCCCUAAACUUAGGAGUUAAUGACAGAGCAGCACAUCCAGACUCAGUCUCAUUUAUGUAGAGAUUAAACUUCAGUGUCAUUCAUUGACGUUAAAGUGCAGUUUUUCAAAUGUUUGUUGCACAUGCUCUUGACCAAACCAGUCCAGGUGGAAGACAAUGUGAAGAGAAAGCUCCAGAGGAUGAAUAUCACACAUUUACAUUGGAAAUUAAUGUCCUUUAAUUAGACAUUGUCAUGCAAAAGUUGGAUUUCCCUUUAAUGAUGUUCAAAUCUUUGUUGAGUGCUUUGUUGAUGUUGGUUUCUAACUGUUUUCUGACACUCGGCCCCAAAGAUUAAAACCUUCUACGGCUCACAAUCUGCAACAAUUCACACAUUAUCAACUAUCUUUCUGACUAAACUAAGAUAAAAAGUGAAAAACUGCCUGAUUCCUGCAUCAUGAAUGUAAAUCUUUUUGGUUUUUAUUACCGUAAACGGAAUAUAUUUGGGCUUGACACUUUAUAAACCAAAACAAGAAAUGAAUUACUGGAGAAAACGACAGAUUAAUGGACUAAAAAAAUGUGUUUUCUAAUAUAUAUGGCUGAAUUACUCCAACAUUACAAGAUACAUACCAUUUUAAUUGAAUUUCAUUUAUAUAAUGCCAAUUACAGGUCAAAUUGUUUCAAGAUGCUUUAUUUUUAUAUUGUUUUGUCGUAUUUAAAAUAUGACAAAGUAAGAAAUUUAAACCUCUUGACUAAUCCAAUUUAUUAUUUAGUUUUUAAGAGACUAAUUGACAAUUCAAACUUUCUCCACUAAAACUAAUAAACAUGAGGUCAAAUAGAAGGAACAGUUUUAAAUACUACAGUCCCACGACGACAAGAAUAAAGUUUCUCAACAAAAACUAAAUCUGCUGGUGGAUUCCAUGAAAGUCCUAAUAAAGGAUAAUAAAGUGUGAUACUAAAGGUUUGUGGUGCUAAAAAUCUCAAAGUAAAGAUAUCGAGUUGAACAUCUGGAUGGAGGUUGAUAAAAGUUGACCUUCUUUCAUUUCUCUGGAGCCGACUCCAUGGAUUUUAUGGAUGGUGGUCAAAGACCUGAUCUUCUAGUCAUCUUCCUUCUAGUUGCUGUAAAAAGUCAGUCCAUCCUGGCCGACUUCAACACCUCUUCAUGACAACUUGUUCUGCCUCCGACCUGGUGGAAACUCCAGAAACUCGGGAAAACCUGUCGAGACUCGAAGAACUCGUGGAGACUUGAAGAACUCGUCGGGUGGGGGAAGGUGUGGUGGGCAGUGGGGGAGUAGAGGGGGGAGGCCGCCACCCACCUCCCCGCCUACUCUCCGCCCUGACUCCACCCAGACUCCACCUUGGCUCCACCCGUGUGGUCACUUGGAAACUACGAUGACAAAGGGACGACGAAAUUAUGUCUUUUCAUCUGAUCUGUAGCUCAGUGAGUUAAGGAUUUGCCUAUGGAGCUGCAGGUCGCUGGUUCAAGACCAGACCCUUCUUGAAUUUUAUCAAAAUCCUGACAAAGACGAAGAAAGAAAAAGGCCGGUGGUGGGUCUUGAACCUGCGACCUUCCAGUUGGUAGUCCGUCUUCUUAUCCCCUGAGCUACUCGCUCAGAUACUAAUUUCUACUUUUUUUUGCGCAUUUAUCAUCUAUUUUUUGUCAUUUUCAAGUUUUUUUUUUAACUCGUGUCUCGACUCGACCGUUUUUUUCAGGAGGUUGGACUUCAGCCUUUGUGCUAGAGGGUGGAACCCUCAGUUCCAAGACUUUCCAAAGCCUCCACACCUCCCGAGUCCUCAGGACCUGA